AUAUAGGAAAUUUUCAAAAACCACUCCUGUGGUUUCACAUUUUCUUACUUAGUAUCCUAUGGUUUAAAGUGUAUCAAUUUAUUAGUGCCAUGUGAUUUUAUUUUUAUCUUUUUAUUAUCGAUUUCACUAAUUUUUUCUUUAAAUUAGUGACAAAAUUAAAAUUAAAAAGUACUAAAGUAAAUAUUCGAUAAAUCUAUGUGAGGUAUCUGAAGUUUUGAUAUAUAAUUUAACAAAAUAUUAACGAAUAUUAACGAAAAAGCUGACGAAAAGAUAAAAAUAAAAUCAUAGGGCACUAACUUGAUACACCUUAAAUCACAGAAUAUUAAAGUAAAAAAGUACGAAACUACAUAAAUGAUAUUCGAAGUUUAUCCUGAAAUAAAAUAAAAUAAAAUAAAAGCAUGGUGGGUGGAGAUGUAAUUAAUUUUGAAAUAUAAUAAUGGCUAUUCGUA
Molecule: long non-coding RNA, 449 nt
Filed under: Ananas comosus (pineapple)
Lineage: Eukaryota; Viridiplantae; Streptophyta; Magnoliopsida; Poales; Bromeliaceae
Description: long non-coding RNA (ACOM_LNC027115)
Source: RNAcentral